RNAcentral lists this ribosomal RNA (429 nucleotides) under uncultured Gammaproteobacteria bacterium. Its description in RNAcentral is "bacterial SSU rRNA". It matches the Rfam family "Bacterial small subunit ribosomal RNA", at positions 355 to 776 of the family's 1533-position model. RNAcentral also lists the same sequence under 1 other name. The record is from RNAcentral. Lineage: Bacteria; Pseudomonadati; Pseudomonadota; Gammaproteobacteria.
UGGGGAAUAUUGGACAAUGGGCGAAAGCCUGAUCCAGCAAUGCCGCGUGUGUGAAGAAGGCCUUCGGGUUGUAAAGCACUUUCAGUGGGGAAGAAAAGCAGAGGGCCAAUACCUCUCUGUGCUGACGUUACCCACAGAAGAAGCACCGGCUAACUCCGUGCCAGCAGCCGCGGUAAUACGGAGGGUGCGAGCGUUAAUCAGAAUUACUGGGCGUAAAGGGCGAGUAGGUGGUUCGGUCAGUCGGAUGUGAAAUCCCCGGGCUCAACUUGGGAAUUGCAUUCGAUACUGCCGAGCUUGAGUGUGGUAGAGGGAAGCGGAAUUCCGGGUGUAGCGGUGAAAUGCGUAGAUAUCCGGAGGAACACCAGUGGCGAAGGCGGCUUCCUGGACCAACACUGACACUGAGUCGCGAAAGCGUGGGGAGCAAACAGG